This 89-nucleotide small nucleolar RNA is filed under the name Penicillium decumbens. RNAcentral describes it as "A. fumigatus snoRNA Afu_300". It matches the Rfam family "A. fumigatus snoRNA Afu_300". Lineage: Eukaryota; Fungi; Ascomycota; Eurotiomycetes; Eurotiales; Aspergillaceae. The record is from Rfam by way of RNAcentral. RNAcentral also lists the same sequence under 1 other name.
UUACAUGAUGAUCAUUUCGUAUUAUAUACGCUGGAAAUUACCGUCCAAGGUCUUCGGAUCACUGACGAUAACUAAUGGCUUGACUGAUA